RNAcentral lists this ribosomal RNA (460 nucleotides) under uncultured bacterium. RNAcentral describes it as "partial 16S ribosomal RNA". It matches the Rfam family "Bacterial small subunit ribosomal RNA", at positions 338 to 795 of the family's 1533-position model. The record is from RNAcentral.
CCUACGGGAGGCAGCAGUGAGGAAUAUUGGUCAAUGGGCGCGAGCCUGAACCAGCCAAGUAGCGUGAAGGAUGACUGCCCUACGGGUUGUAAACUUCUUUUAUAUGGGAAUAAAAUGUUCCACGUGUGGGAUUUUGUAUGUACCAUAUGAAUAAGGAUCGGCUAACUCCGUGCCAGCAGCCGCGGUAAUACGGAGGAUCCGAGCGUUAUCCGGAUUUAUUGGGUUUAAAGGGUGCGUAGGCGGAUUGUUAAGUCAGUUGUGAAAGUUUGCGGCUCAACCGUAAAAUUGCAGUUGAAACUGGCAGUCUUGAGUAGAGGAGAGGUGGGCGGAAUUCGUGGUGUAGCGGUGAAAUGCUUAGAUAUCGCGAAGAACUCCGAUUGCGAAGGCAGCUCACUGGACUGCAACUGACGCUGAGGCUCGAAAGUGUGGGUAUCAAACAGGAUUAGAUACCCUUGUAGUC